AAUGAUCUUGCCUUGAACCUUUUCUCUAAUGAAAUGGCAAUCAGCCUCAAUAUACUUAGUUCAUUCAUGGAACACGGGGUUUGAUGCUAUGCGAAUAAAUUAUCACAAUGGAGCUUAAUUGGAGUGCAGUUUUUGGAACCAAGAUUUUGAAGACGAGCCUUGAGCUAGAUGAAUUCACACGCUGCAGAAGCCAUAGCCCGAUAUUCAGCUUCAGCACUAGAUCUAGCUACAACGCUUUGUUUUUUACUCAUCUGAGUGAUUAAAUUUCCU
This 270-nucleotide long non-coding RNA is filed under the name Amborella trichopoda. RNAcentral's name for it is "long non-coding RNA (ATRI_LNC000789)". The record is from RNAcentral. Lineage: Eukaryota; Viridiplantae; Streptophyta; Magnoliopsida; Amborellales; Amborellaceae.